CUCCCCUCAUCCUACUUCUCCCUCCUCCCCUCCCCUUCCCUCCUCCUCUUCCUCACAGGGCUCCUAGGGCCUGUCACCAGAUGGGAAAGAAUGCCGGGGGAGGUCAAGGUCACACCCUGAAGCCCCAGGCCUUCCAGUUCACAGGCCAGGAGCCUGGCUGAGAACCCUCCUGCCUCCUGCCUCCCCCACCCCCAACCCCCUGCGCACCAAACAGCCCCGGAGCCAGGAGGAGCCCAAUAACAGGGCAGCCGACCAGGGGCAGCUCAGCGGACCACAGGGUGGGCAUCUGCCGGCCCAGCGUGGACCCAGCCUCGGGGCCCGGCCGGACAGCGACGCAUUGACACGGCCACCUCGGAGAAGGGGCAGAGGUGUGGGGGAGGUCAGGGUCCCAGGCCUCAGUCUGCAGGAAAAGCCCCACCCCCUCCACCCCUGGUGUCCCCCCCACACCAAAGGGGUUUAUGAAGACCUGUGCAGUGCACCAGAAAAAUACCGCUAUCAUUAAGGGAUUUAACGACAGCUUUGCCCAAUAUUGGGGAUUUGUUAUGUCUCUUAUUACACGUUUUAACAAGCAUAUUUCUCCGAGACGCAGCCCCGCGUGAGGGCCGUCCUCUCCCUCUGCCUUGUGUGACUUUCAUUAGAAGGCGUUUUAUAAAGCCACGGAUCACAGAUGCACGCCCAGCCCGCAGCCUUGGCUGGCCGGGGCCUGGUGUCGUGGGCUGGGUGGCCGGGGUGUGCCCGCGGGUCUGUCUGCCUGUUUCUGUGGGUGCAGAGAGGAACCCUUGUACUCAGACCGCACCCCUCCUGACACUUCCGGCCGGGAGCACGACUCAGGCACGGACCCCAGACUGGAGUCGGGCUUCCUGCCCCUUCUGCGACGUGAUCCCAGAUGAGCCUCGGGCCUCCUGAGCCUCAGUGUCCCCAUGUGUGACUUGGGCAUCUGAGCAGACAAAUGACUUCCAGCAUAUCUCAGCAGUAGGACUCUGUUUGCACACAAACCAUCAAAUAGCGGAAAAGCAAAUUUAAAAAGGCGGAAAUGAAGCUGAUUCUGCAGAAGCAAAUCUCGGCCACCCUGCGCCUUACCCCCAGGAGGCCGCUGGAUUGCCACCAAAUGCCUGGGGUCUUUGGAGCACAGCUUAGGAUGCUGGCUGGUGGCUGAGGACUGUGAUGUCCCCAGCUCCAGGGCCUGAGGCCCUAGCAUUGCGCUGACCGUGCCCACGGAACGACAGCCCUGCCCUGAGCCACAGCCCUGCAGGCCCAGCCAGCUCGUCCCCCACCCCGGGGCCCCCGGGGCAGGCCACGCACAGGGGCGGCAGCAGGAAGAGUAGGUAAUUCCAGAGCCAAGCCCUGACUUCCGACAUGCACACCCCUCCCGACGCUGAAAUGUGUCUUCUGAGCUCUCUGCUCCGAGCUGCCCUUCCCGGCCCUUGGAGCACGUGCUCAGGCCAUCGCCGCGGCCUCAGAAGCUGGUGUAUAAAAGGGGAAAGCACGGGCUCCCUGAGGGCAGCUGGAGGCGAGCCGACCUGUAGCUGAGACCAAUUCCUGCCAAGAAACUUCCAGACAAGCAAGAUGUGCGCUGGGAAGGAUCCAGGUGAACAGGCCGAUGGUGGACGGGGAGACCCCUGCCCUCUGGUUCCCUGGCCAGAGCCCCCCGGCACACUGACAAUGGGUCGCCCAGGCCCAGGAUGACUGCAGCCUCCCUCCGGGCUCCCAGAGACCCUCCACACGGCCAGGCUCCUCCUCCAGCAUCCACACACUGAUGCCUUCUCCGGACUUCUGGAGCCCCAUCUACACCACAAUGGCAAAGGGCCAGAGCGGGGUCCGCUGGUCUCUGACUCCCCUGCCCCUAGCAGAGGGCUGGCUCUGAAGAGACAGAUGCCCUCAGGACAGGAACGUGUGGAAGCCGGGACAGAGCAGCGGACGCGGCCCCAGCUGUGACAAGCUCCCCCCCUCCCCGUCCCCCCCAGAAACGAGCGAAGGCAUAAAUAAAUAAUAAGCCCUGCCGAUCGCGUACCGCUUCCCAGAUAGGGCUGGGCACGGCCCGGCGAUUACGCCCACAAUACCUCGCAUUCAUUACGCCCCUUAAAAACGGUGUGCUGUGUCUGGAAAACAGGAAGUGGCCGUCAGUCUCCCGUGUAAAAGCCAUCUGAAGCCCGUGGACCAGGCAUGUUCUCAAUCAGGAAGCAGGCAGUAAAUAAACAUUUACGUCCCGCGGCCGCGCGCACCCGCCUGCCCCCAGGCUACAAAGGGGCACGGAGAGCGGAAAUUUGUUUAGUCCUAUAAAAGCACAGGCCAUAUAUCAAUAGAUGGUUAAAAAUGGAAACGUGGCCGGCUAAUGGACGGUAUUGAUUUUAAUAAGCGUUAAGUACAUGGAGCUCGCAGAUAAGGGCCGCUGGGCCAUCCCUCCGCGCUCUGGGAAAGUGACUCAUGCGGCGAAAAAAAAAAAAAAAUCCUCUUUUCCAAAUUGAAACUUUCACCCGGCGUAUUGGGGUCUGGGGGAGUGGUUUCCAAAUCGGCAUCUAUCCCGGAAUAUCGAGCGUGACGCGGGUGAUAUAUGGAAGCGUUUCUGCCGCGAGGUCAUGCACGUCGCGCUCAAAACAGUAGCGGCACGGGCUCGCGGGCGCCUUGGUGGCAGGGCCACGGCCGGGCCCCCGCGGGGCGUCCGAGCGCACCAGCGCCCGCUCCAGGCUGCCGAGACGCCCCCGGGAACCCCGCGUCACCCCGUUUGUUCUGCUUCCUCCCACCCAGUCACGCUGGGCUCCCCACCUGCCGGGUGUCCACAGUACCCGGGCCCUGAGAGACGGGGCCGCGGGGCCAGACGUCCACCCAGAGCAUCAGGUGGCUGCCUGGGACCAAAGCUCCUACCUCGGAGGAAGUCGCAGCUCCGUGACAAUGACCAGACGGCCGUUCUCCAGACGGGAGCUGGUAGCGGCCGGCUGGGGUCAGGCGUGAGGGUCACACUGGUCCCUGGGCCGGGAAAGGCCCGACCAAGUGGCAGAAUGUCCUCACAGACAUCCACUUGGAAUCUUCUGCUUGUCAUGGUAGAUUAGGUUGCUCCUGUUCCUGCAACACAGGAGCUCCACAAAGGCAUGGUCUUACCUGUUUGUUGGCCACCAUAUACCUGAGUCAACAUGGCAGUUGGUCUAGCACAGGUCACUGAACAUGGAAGGUGUUCAGGGAAUGGGUGAGUGAUAGAGAACAUGAAAGAAGGAAGAAACACAAGUAAGUAAAAAGGGUUUGAGCCAUCAGGUCAUGGUUACAGAAGUAAGCAUGAGGCACCAUGCCCCCACCCCUGCUUCCUCACAUUGGUGCGGGCACACCUUCACAGAGCUGGGCACAUCGCAGGCCUCAGACACUGGCUGCCUGAGCAAGUUCAUGAAAGAUGCCCUGUUUUCGCUUUGCUCCAAGGCCACGGUACAGGUGCAGUCCCUGCCCUAUAAGGUACACUUUUUGGGUUUUGCCCUAAGACCUCCUCUUCUCCACAAGUCAGUGCAGUUUUCCUGUCAGAGAGCCAAAAUGGGAGCGGUCGAGGCUUUGUGGGCCUGACCACCUUACUUCUGCUGCUGUAAUGUGAAAACAGCCAUGGAGAACACAUGAGUGGGUGUGGCUCUGUUUGUAUAAAACUUCAUUUAUGGACACCAAAACACGGAUUUCAGGUAACGUACUCACGUCAUGAAGUAUGACUCUGUUUGCUUUCCAUUUCCAGCUGUUUAGAAAUAUAAAAACCACUCUUAGCUCGCAGUCCCUUCUGACUCAGAUGGCAGGCCAGACUCGGUCUGUAGAAUGUAAUCUGCCAACCCCUUGCCGGGGGUAGGGUCCCUCCCUCGCCCCUAAUAUGCACAUUUGGUGCAUAAAUGUGUACUAUUCCAUAAGUGACUUUCAGCAUUUGGUAGAUCGUGGCCACGUUUCCCCUUCGCCUUUCCUGACCGACGUGCCGAUCACGUGUCUGUGGGGUUCAGUCAGCAAACGCCGCGGUGAUGCCAUGGAACGGACCUCCCCGGGUCAGGCUGUCCCAAAACAGACCCGACCUUCACCCCCACGGUCAGG
Molecule: long non-coding RNA, 4044 nt
Organism: Acinonyx jubatus (cheetah)
Lineage: Eukaryota; Metazoa; Chordata; Mammalia; Carnivora; Felidae
Exons: 4
Source: RefSeq, a predicted model, not a curated record